UACGUAGGUGGCGAGCGUUGUCCGGAUUUACUGGGCGUAAAGAGCUCGUAGGCGGUGUGUCACGUCGGCCGUGAAAACCUGGGGGCUUAACUCUGGGCGUGCGGUCGAUACGGGCAUCACUAGAGUUCGGCAGGGGAGACUGGAAUUCCUGGUGUAGCGGUGAAAUGCGCAGAUAUCAGGAGGAACACCGGUGGCGAAGGCGGGGUCUCUGGGCCGAUACUGACGUGAGGAGCGAAAGCAUGGGGAGCGAACAGG
This 255-nucleotide ribosomal RNA is filed under the name uncultured bacterium. RNAcentral's name for it is "partial 16S ribosomal RNA". It matches the Rfam family "Bacterial small subunit ribosomal RNA", at positions 524 to 776 of the family's 1533-position model. The record is from RNAcentral.